This is a long non-coding RNA of Mus musculus (house mouse), 351 nucleotides long. RefSeq annotates it as predicted gene, 39867. Lineage: Eukaryota; Metazoa; Chordata; Mammalia; Rodentia; Muridae. The record is from RefSeq and is a predicted model, not a curated record. The transcript is spliced from 3 exons.
AAGCACAUGUACUUGGAGCUCAGGAGUAUAAGACUGACUGCACAGUAUGUGCGGAAUUCUUACUGGACCUGCUCCAAACCCUUCUUUAGGUUGCUAUUUUACUAUAUUUUUGACAGCAAAGAACCUGGUAAUCAAAAUGUGUGCCAGCUGUGCAACUUUAAUGAGACCUUGGACAGAGCGGCAAUGUGGGAUAAAGGAAGUCAGGAUGGACACUGGUGAGACUGGUGAUAGAAGAUGCUACAUAAAACAGCAAUAGGAUGACACACAAGGCAUCAUUAUACACCAGAGGGCCUGGGUUCAGCCACCAGAACCUACAUGGAACAGCUGUAACCCCCCUGCAACUCCAAGAAC